AGGGAUAGACAUUCCCAAAAUAAGAUCAACAACUGAGCUUUAUAAUUCUAACAUGAGCACACGUAUCAUUUCAGGCUCUCCCAGGACCCCUAGGUGUCAUAAAAGAAGAAAAGACCAAUUCAUCAACAGUGCUUUCAGGGUGGGCUCAGUAGCUCACAGCUGUAAUCCCAGCACUUUGAGAGACCAAGGUGGAAGUAUUGCUUGAGGCUAGAAGUUUGAGAUAAGCCUGGCCAACAUAGCAAGACCUCCAUCUCUAUAAAACAAGACAAAAGAAAAAAGACAAAAAAAAAAAAAAAAAAAAAAAAGGAUUGCUUUCAUUUUCCCAGAAGGGGCUGCACUUUGAAAUAAAAAGUAGUUUGAAUUCCAUGCCUGUCUUAGUCCAUUUUGUGUUGCUACAGCAGAAUACCUGGGUAAUUUACCAUGAACAGAAAUUUAUGUUCUCACAGUUCUGGAGGCUGGGAAGUCCAAGAUCAAGGCUCUGGC
This 483-nucleotide long non-coding RNA is filed under the name Callithrix jacchus (white-tufted-ear marmoset). RNAcentral's name for it is "lncRNA (ENSCJAG00000081770.1)". The record is from RNAcentral. Lineage: Eukaryota; Metazoa; Chordata; Mammalia; Primates; Cebidae.